RNAcentral lists this ribosomal RNA (449 nucleotides) under uncultured bacterium. RNAcentral describes it as "partial 16S ribosomal RNA". It matches the Rfam family "Bacterial small subunit ribosomal RNA", at positions 29 to 523 of the family's 1533-position model. The record is from RNAcentral.
AGCGAACGCUGGCGGCAGGCUUAACACAUGCAAGUCGAGCGCCGUAGCAAUACGGAGCGGCAGACGGGAGAGUAACACGUGGGAACGUGCCCUUCAGUUCGGAACAACCCAGGGAAACUUGGGCUAAUACCGAAUACGUCCGAAAGGAGAAAGAUUUAUCGCUGAAGGAUCGGCCCGCGUCUGAUUAGCUAGUUGGUGGGGUAAUGGCCCACCAAGGCGACGAUCAGUAGCUGGUCUGAGAGGAUGAUCAGCCUCACUGGGACUGAGACACGGCCCAGACUCCUACGGGAGGCAGCAGUGGGGAAUAUUGGACAAUGGGGGCAACCCUGAUCCAGCCAUGCCGCGUGGGUGAUGGAGGCCCUAGGGUUGUAAAGCCCUUUCGGCGGGGAAGAUAAUGACGGUACCCGCAGAAGAAGCCCCGGCUAACUUCGUGCCAGCAGCCGCCGUAA